GGGGACGCGCACGCUGCCCUCUGACCCCGUAGAGAGGUGGCGGAGAGUAGGGUCUGGAGGGAGCCCCUGCAGUGGCGAGUCCUGCCGUUGGAUUCCCGUGGCGCCCGUUGAGGCUCCGCCCGGGCGGUGCUACCAACACUGUUCGAUUUUAGAAUCCUGCAUUCCUACAGGGAAUCCUAGACCCCUCAUUUUACAGUUGAGGUAACGGGCCCAAGUAAUAUGACUUGUUCUCGCCGCUACUCGGAGAAGCAGCCCCAGUUUCUUGACUCCAGGGCACUGCUUUCGCGUUAGCUCGUUUGUGGAGGAAAUGGGUCAGCCCUCGCUGGACCCUCGGUGAUUGCCACCACAGGCCUUCCCGCCGGCUAACUCAGCGUGCCCCAGGCCCGUGACUUAAUGCCAAGACGGUGCUGUGGCCCGUUAUCCCCUGUCGGGUUUUAGCUCCCCCGGGAAGGAGCUCAGCUCUGGAUCCCGGCGGGUAGCGGAGCCUAUCUGGAGCUGGGACGGGGCAGCCCACCAGGGUCUGCUUCUGUGAGGGGCUGAGGCGUCAUUACGCGAAGAUGAGAUCAACAUUUAAAUCAGUAGAUUUUGAGUAAAGCAGAUUACUUUCCAUAAUGUGGGUAGGUCUCAUCCAAUCAGUGGAAGGCCUUAAGAGAAAAAGAUGAACUUACUGCAAGAGGGAUUUCUGCCAGCAGAAUGUCUUCAAACUUGAGCUGCAAUACCAACUCUUCCUUGGCGCUUUAGCCCAUCCUGCAGAUUUGACCUUGUCAAGACUCCACAAUCAUAGUGCCUGGGAAGAAUUGAGAAGACAUGAAAACAUGGAUUUUACUUGAUCAAAAAUUAGUAAUCCUGCUGUCAACUCAUAUUGACUUUCAAUGUCUUGAGCAUUGUUUCAUCUGGCUGAAAAAAUGAAUUUUGGACAAAUGAGAAAUAAAUGCUAAAUUAGAGUCCAA
This is a long non-coding RNA of Sapajus apella (tufted capuchin), 950 nucleotides long. RefSeq lists it as uncharacterized. The transcript has 3 exons. The record is from RefSeq and is a predicted model, not a curated record. NCBI's taxonomy places the organism in Eukaryota, Metazoa, Chordata, Mammalia, Primates, Cebidae.